This 949-nucleotide ribosomal RNA is filed under the name Klebsiella pneumoniae subsp. pneumoniae. Its description in RNAcentral is "bacterial SSU rRNA". It matches the Rfam family "Bacterial small subunit ribosomal RNA", at positions 192 to 1122 of the family's 1533-position model. Lineage: Bacteria; Pseudomonadati; Pseudomonadota; Gammaproteobacteria; Enterobacterales; Enterobacteriaceae. The record is from RNAcentral.
GUCGCAAGACCAAAGUGGGGGACCUUCGGGCCUCAUGCCAUCAGAUGUGCCCAGAUGGGAUUAGCUAGUAGGUGGGGUAACGGCUCACCUAGGCGACGAUCCCUAGCUGGUCUGAGAGGAUGACCAGCCACACUGGAACUGAGACACGGUCCAGACUCCUACGGGAGGCAGCAGUGGGGAAUAUUGCACAAUGGGCGCAAGCCUGAUGCAGCCAUGCCGCGUGUGUGAAGAAGGCCUUCGGGUUGUAAAGCACUUUCAGCGGGGAGGAAGGCGGUGAGGUUAAUAACCUCAUCGAUUGACGUUACCCGCAGAAGAAGCACCGGCUAACUCCGUGCCAGCAGCCGCGGUAAUACGGAGGGUGCAAGCGUUAAUCGGAAUUACUGGGCGUAAAGCGCACGCAGGCGGUCUGUCAAGUCGGAUGUGAAAUCCCCGGGCUCAACCUGGGAACUGCAUUCGAAACUGGCAGGCUAGAGUCUUGUAGAGGGGGGUAGAAUUCCAGGUGUAGCGGUGAAAUGCGUAGAGAUCUGGAGGAAUACCGGUGGCGAAGGCGGCCCCCUGGACAAAGACUGACGCUCAGGUGCGAAAGCGUGGGGAGCAAACAGGAUUAGAUACCCUGGUAGUCCACGCCGUAAACGAUGUCGAUUUGGAGGUUGUGCCCUUGAGGCGUGGCUUCCGGAGCUAACGCGUUAAAUCGACCGCCUGGGGAGUACGGCCGCAAGGUUAAAACUCAAAUGAAUUGACGGGGGCCCGCACAAGCGGUGGAGCAUGUGGUUUAAUUCGAUGCAACGCGAAGAACCUUACCUGGUCUUGACAUCCACAGAACUUUCCAGAGAUGGAUUGGUGCCUUCGGGAACUGUGAGACAGGUGCUGCAUGGCUGUCGUCAGCUCGUGUUGUGAAAUGUUGGGUUAAGUCCCGCAACGAGCGCAACCCUUAUCCUUUGUUGCCAGC